AGCAGCUCUGGAUGAAUUUUCUAGAAUAAUUAUUUAAAUGCAAGUUUUUACAUUCCAUUUAUAUUUGUACGUGUGUGUGCACAUACACACAUGCAAACACACUC
Molecule: microRNA precursor, 104 nt
Filed under: Sorex araneus (European shrew)
Lineage: Eukaryota; Metazoa; Chordata; Mammalia; Eulipotyphla; Soricidae
Description: miRNA (ENSSARG00000017866.1)
Source: RNAcentral